Arvicanthis niloticus (Nile rat) is the source of this 731-nucleotide long non-coding RNA. RefSeq lists it as uncharacterized. The record is from RefSeq and is a predicted model, not a curated record. NCBI's taxonomy places the organism in Eukaryota, Metazoa, Chordata, Mammalia, Rodentia, Muridae.
CUGGUACAUAGUAGGCAGUCGUUAAAUUUCUGUUUGAUGAGUGAGUGACAGCUGUCACAGUAAUGAUAAGGCUGAAUGGAGCUGGCCAAAGAUAGAACGGUAGGUCAGGAGUCUGGGGAGCCCCGCACAGACAGUGUCAAAGAAAGGGUCACCUAGUGAAGAGAACAGCCUGCUAAGUCAUAUCAACCAUGAUGGCUUGGUAGCUGUGGUAGCUGUUGGCACCAGGGGCUUCCUGGGUUUUUCUGUGUACCUAACACCUAUCUCUGCUUCUCUUCACUCUGCUCUUCAGCCCCACUCAGGGCCUGUUUGCACUGGAAAAAAAAUGGGUCAUUGGUUCUGUUAAUCCCACCACUCGAGAAUAAAACCACUACCACAAUUUAAAGCCAAAUUUGAAGCAAGCUUUAAAAUACAUGCCUGGAAGAUGGACUCUGGCCAGGUCCACCCUUGAGUUCCCAAGAAAAUGGUCACAAGUCACAUUUUGCUGGGACUUAAAAGAUUUAGCCUGUUUCAUAUUGAAUCUGGAAUCUGGAAUGUUCCCCGCAAACGUUCAUGUGUUGAAAACUUGGUCAGCAGAUGCGAGUGUCAUUCAGAGGUUGGUGGGAAUGUCAAGAUGUCUGUCUCAUUGGAAGUAGGAUGGACGUGGACCUUGACACAUAGUAGGCACUCAACUAAGUCAAGCUGAGAAAAUGAAAAUAAGCAUCUCUCUUGGACCUUACUUACACUGGAGCAUG